Molecule: ribosomal RNA, 660 nt
Filed under: uncultured Lachnospiraceae bacterium
Lineage: Bacteria; Bacillati; Bacillota; Clostridia; Lachnospirales; Lachnospiraceae
Description: bacterial SSU rRNA
Rfam family: Bacterial small subunit ribosomal RNA
Source: RNAcentral
GCUUAACACAUGCAAGUCGAACGAAGCACCUUAUUCUGAUUUCUUCGGAAUGAAAAAUUUGGUGACUGAGUGGCGGACGGGUGAGUAACGCGUGGGUAACCUGCCUCAUACAGGGGGAUAACAGUUAGAAAUGACCGCUAAUACCGCAUAAGACCACAGCACUGCAUGGUGCAGGGGUAAAAACUCCGGUGGUAUGAGAUGGACCCGCGUCUGAUUAGGUAGUUGGUGGGGUAACGGCCUACCAAGCCGACGAUCAGUAGCCGACUUGAGAGGGUGACCGGCCACAUUGGGACUGAGACACGGCCCAAACUCCUACGGGAGGCAGCAGUGGGGAAUAUUGCACAAUGGGGGAAACCCUGAUGCAGCGACGCCGCGUGAGCGAUGAAGUAUUUCGGUAUGUAAAGCUCUAUCAGCAGGGAAGAAAAUGACGGUACCUGACUAAGAAGCACCGGCUAAAUACGUGCCAGCAGCCGCGGUAAUACGUAUGGUGCAAGCGUUAUCCGGAUUUACUGGGUGUAAAGGGAGCGUAGACGGAGUGGCAAGUCUGAUGUGAAAACCCGGGGCUCAACCCCGGGACUGCAUUGGAAACUGUCAAUCUGGAGUACCGGAGAGGUAAGCGGAAUUCCUAGUGUAGCGGUGAAAUGCGUAGAUAUUAGGAGG